This is a non-coding RNA of Phoenix dactylifera (date palm), 2780 nucleotides long. The record is from RefSeq and is a predicted model, not a curated record. NCBI's taxonomy places the organism in Eukaryota, Viridiplantae, Streptophyta, Magnoliopsida, Arecales, Arecaceae.
GUUCGGGGUUCCGGGUUCGGGGUUCGAGGUUCGGGGUUCCGGGUCCGAAGGUUUAUUGUAGAAAGACUAACUUUAACCAAAGGUUUAUUGUAGACCAUAGAAAGACUAACUUUAACCAAAGAUGUAUUGUAGAAAGGACUCAUGAUGUAAAACCAAUGUUGGUAAUUAGAAUCAUAGCUUCUUGUUAUCAAGGUUCCUGCACAACACCUGAAUGAAUAAUUUUAGAAUUGCUGGUUUUGUGCCACACCAACAGUUACAUUAUAAGUUCGCCGAAGCAAAAAAAAACAAUCUUUAGCGCCACCUCUCCAGGACUAGUGAAGGAAAUCACCAAUGCUUUGGCACAUUUGAAAUUUGUAUUGGUUCAGAUAAACUUCAUUCAGUUUGACGCCUAAUGCAGGAUCUAAUUGGAUUAGAAUAUUGAUAAGAAUUUCUUAUAAAUUCAUCUGGACCUUCAACACCGCUUACAUUCUAUAACUCCGAAGCCUUUAAGCAACUCAAGAUCAAAUGACAAAGGUAAAAUACUAAGUAAAUCAAAUAAAUUAAAUUAAUGAAUCAUCUAAAUCUCAUGUGAAUUAUAAUGAAAUGAAUUGUUGCGCCUUCUUAUCUGAAUUUUACCUCUUACAUCUCUCAUUAUUCAUAGCUAUAAUUUCUCACAUGAGCCUUUUCAUAUCAACAACCUAAAGUCGUUCCACUGUAAACAUCCCAUUUAAUUCCUAUGAUGGCUACAUGUAUAUAUCCGAUGCUCUGAAACUAUAAUUACAACUCUUUGAUUCCUUUGCAAGACUGCAAAAUGCUGAUCCAUAGAGGCGAUCAUGACAUACGCAGAAGAGGAGUUGAAUGACCCUAAAUCCUGAUUAUUCGUCCAUGAGGAUAACACACCUGAAGUAUACAGCACAUGAAAUAACUUAGAAAUUGGUUAUAUUUGGAUAUUUUUAUACCCCUUAGAAGAAUAACUGUUUUUGCUUCUCCACUAACCUACAAGCAUAGUUCCCUCGGUGAUCCAAUAAAGAACUCUACCUUUAAAAAGAUACAACUAAUUAGAGAAUGGCAACAAGCCAAAAAGCAAACAUAAAAAAAUUCACUAACUGUUUUUGCUUCUCCCUUAGCCAAGCAGUUCAGCAGCAAACCCAGCAACUCGAAGAUAGGUUCCUACUCGUAACUUCAUAAUUUGUCCAAGGACAAACUUUUCUCCAAAAGACAUAAAAAAAGUUGUAAAUAAAAAACAUCAAAAAGAAAAUUUAAAGCCACAUCACAUGAGUUCUGAUCACUUUGUAGAACACUAGCAGACCCUUAUACCCAAAUUCUUUUUGUCAUUAGGACCAAAUACAGACAUAUACAUUCUUCCGAAGAACACGUACUAAAGUGUCAUACCAAUAGCCAUGUUUACGAGUUCCACACAGGUGCUCAAGGCUACAUCAAAGAGCUAGGAUUAUAUCAAUGAUACACCAAAAAACUUCACACGGGCCAACAUGAUAUCACUAGUCAUGAUCAUUUUCAUACUUCUUAUCAUACAAAGGAUUCACGACACUGUACUAGUAAUUAGUAAAUAGAAUCAUCUCUCCCCAUUGCUAAGGUUCUUACUUUGGCAGAACACCAAUAAUCAAAUCAAUAGUUCAUUGGAGCAUAACCAGCAAUCUAUUAGACUAUCCAUGAUUCUAGAAGUAUCGAUAAUUCAAAACAUCAUUGGUAAGUUUCAAUUCCCAUUUUCUGGCACCUUUUAUCGGCUACUGGCUGCAAUCACCAAAAAUUUGGCACCACUAAAAUUUGUAUUGGUUCACAUGAACUUCCCCCAUUUCAACUUUAGAGAAGAGACCUAAAAAGAUUAAAAAACUUAGAUUGUUAAUUAUAAUUUUUAAGAAAUUUAUUUGGAACUUAAACACCAUCUAUAUUCCACAACUCCCCAGUCUUUAAGAAACUUUGAUUCAAAUAACAAAAGUAGCAAAUAAUUCAAAUAAAUCUUUAACAAAUAAAGAUCCCAGCACUUGAUGUGCAAUCAACUGCAUCAUAGCACCUUAUUACUGGUACUUCUUUUCUGAAGCCAACCUCUUAUUAUCUCUGACAAUUAUAGCAAUAGUUUCUCCAGUGAGCCUCUUGGCAUUCAGCAACAAAAUUCUAAACAUCCUCUUUAACUCUUGUAGUUACUACACUUAGAUAUCCGAUUCUCUGCCCCUCCAACUACACAAGGCCACAGAGUCAGCAUCCUUAGAUAUGAGCAUACAUCGAAAAGCAAGUUAAAUUUCAACUAUUCAACCCUGAGGCUAACAUAUCAUAAAUAAAAUAGCAAUUAACUUAAUACAUUAAUAAAUUGUGCUGUAACACCAAGCUGCUUCUACUUACUAAUCAGAUCAUCUUUACUGCAAGUAUAACUGCCUUUGGUUCUCCGCUAGCUGACAAUAUAGAUCAGUUGACGAUUAACCAAAGAGUUGUCAUAAUCCAAGAUUCCAGAAAGAAAUAGUUCACUAACUUCAGCUCAUAUAUUUCAUCUACUUAGAUAAAAACAUCAGCUCUGCAAGAUCCCCGCAUAAACAUCAUACACAACCGCAACAAAGCCGGUAAACCCAGCAGCUCAGGAAUGGGUUCACACUCCAAAGUUUAUUAUUAGUUCAAGAACAUUUUUUUCUAAAAACAUCAAAGGAAAUCCGAUAAUCAAAUAAAGAACGACAAAGUAAAUCCCGAGCCGCGACACAUGAGUUCUGAUCACUUCGCAGAACACUAGCAGCACUUUAUACCAAGAUUCAUCGACAAGGAUUCUAGACAAGGACAUCUCCCAUUCAUCAUAA